This 496-nucleotide ribosomal RNA is filed under the name uncultured bacterium. Its description in RNAcentral is "partial 16S ribosomal RNA". It matches the Rfam family "Bacterial small subunit ribosomal RNA", at positions 28 to 507 of the family's 1533-position model. The record is from RNAcentral.
GAUGAACGCUGGCGGCGUGCCUAAUACAUGCAAGUAGAACGCUGAAGGAGGAGCUUGCUCUUUCCGGAUGAGUUGCGAACGGGUGAGUAACGCGUAGGUAACCUGCCUGGUAGCGGGGGAUAACUAUUGGAAACGAUAGCUAAUACCGCAUAACAGUAGAUAUUGCAUGAUAUUUGCUUGAAAGGGGCAAUUGCUCCACUACCAGAUGGACCUGCGUUGUAUUAGCUAGUUGGUGAGGUAACGGCUCACCAAGGCGACGAUACAUAACCGACCUGAGAGGGUGAUCGGCCACACUGGGACUGAGACACGGCCCAGACUCCUACGGGAGGCAGCAGUAGGGAAUCUUCGGCAAUGGACGGAAGUCUGACCGAGCAACGCCGCGUGAGUGAAGAAGGUUUUCGGAUCGUAAAGCUCUGUUGUAAGAGAAGAACGAGUGUGAGAGUGGAAAGUUCACACUGUGACGGUAUCUUACCAGAAAGGGACGGCUAACUACGUG